UUUUGAUUACAUUUGUAAUGCCCCAGUUGGACUGUUUUGCUGAUUCUCGAGAUGCAACUGAGUGAUCUUCUUUUCUUGCUCAAGAAGUCGGGAAAUCUCGUCAGGAAUCCCUUCCACAUCAUCUUCCUCUGUUUCGAAUACAGGGAAUUCAAAAUUGGGAGAUGGCGUUGGAUCAUUAUGUUCAAUGGGUUUAAGAAUCAACCUACAUAACGAUUUUGAAUAUAAAAG
Molecule: long non-coding RNA, 228 nt
Filed under: Lathyrus oleraceus (garden pea)
Lineage: Eukaryota; Viridiplantae; Streptophyta; Magnoliopsida; Fabales; Fabaceae
Description: Pisum sativum (pea) long non-coding RNA (PSAT_LNC001046)
Source: RNAcentral